This 1567-nucleotide long non-coding RNA is filed under the name Sus scrofa (pig). RNAcentral's name for it is "lncRNA (ENSSSCG00025035691.1)". Lineage: Eukaryota; Metazoa; Chordata; Mammalia; Artiodactyla; Suidae. The record is from RNAcentral.
CUUAAUUAAAAAGAUAAGAGGAAUCUUUUUGGAGCAAUCAGCACCUGAAGAGGUAUCUGUGGAGUUUUCACAAGUGGAUAGUUUGUGGUCAUCACCACUUAUGAAAAGAGAGUGUUCACUAAGAACUCUAACUCCCAAUGGAAACUAAGGAAUUAUCUGCAAUAGGGAAAGAUUGAGGGGUUUUGUACUGAGAAAAGAUAUAACAAAUAGUGUUGUAGUAUUUAUAAUUUGAAGGAGAUGUGUGUCAGUGUUCAUCAACUUCUUAAUUAUUGCCCUUCUAAGGAGCCUUUGUAGACAUAUCUUUCUAAUAGUCCAAAGGUUUCCCAGCAGCCUCAUUCAUUGUCUAUUGCACCUUGUUUCUAUCAAUGGCCAUCAUAGUCUUGUUGCUUAUCUUCUUUAAUUUCCUUAGUGUGUUUGAGCCCUGAGUAGCUGUUGAGAUAAAGCAAUCUAACAUCAUUAGGCACUUGGUGAGGAUCACAGGAGUGAAAUUGCAAAAAAAAAAAAAAAAAAAAAAAAAAAAAAAAAAAAAACAAUUUUUUAAAAUGGGAGGAGAAUAUAUUGCUUAUACAAAACUGCUACAAAUUGAUUAUAUAGGAAAAAAAGAAAAUGCUUCCUUAUUUUCCCCAUGCACAAAAUUCAAGAAAGAUAAAAAUACGUAAAUGUAAAAAAAAAAUCAAGAAAUUAAAGUAUUAAGGAGAAAAUAUAGGGGACUAUAUAACAAUGAGCUAGGGAAAAAUCAAACAAGAUACAAAAAGCAUAAGUCAUAAAGAAAAAAAGAACAAUAAACUAUUCUACUUUAAACUACUACCAAUUCUGAUAAAGUAAAAAGAUAAAUCACAGGGCAAGAUACUUACCAUACUUAUAACCAUUAAAUAAUUAUUUCCAAGUACAUAGAAAAAGCCCUCAAAAGAAAGAAAAAAAGUUGGAAUAUAAUCUCACAACAUUGUAUUUCCCAAAACUAAAAAGUCUAGCCAUACAAAGUGUUAAGGAAGAUCAGAAUGAUGGGAACAGUUAGAUAAGGUUAGUGAAAUUGUGAAAUGGUACAACUCCUUUAGAGAGUAAUUCAUAAUUUCAGAACACAAUUGCUGUGACUUGGUAAUUUCACAUGCACAUAAACAAAAUGUACAGUAUGUUAUUCAUGAGCAUUGUUUGUAAUAGCAAAAACUUGGAAACAAUGUCAGUUAAUAGGUGAGGGUAUGUAUUUGGAGGUUCCACGACCACCCUCAGGUUCUAUGAUUUGCUAGAAGGACUCUUUACAGAACUCUUCAAAGCUGUUAUACUCAUGGUUAUGGCUAAUUACAGUUAAAGGAUAAAGAUUAAAGUUAGCAAUAGAAAAAGGCACGUUAGACAGAGUCCAGAAGACAAUAGGCAUGAGUUUCCAGUUGUUCUCUACCACUGGAGUAGUAUAAGCAGCACUUACUUAUCUCAGCAACAAUGUGUGACAAAAUACUGCCAACUAGGGAAGCUCACCUGAGUCUUGCUGUCCAAAAUAUUUAUUGGGGUUGAUCCACUAAGCUUGGCUGACUGCUUUUAUGGCUGAUUUUAGGCUAACCCUACCCUCUCGCAC